RNAcentral lists this ribosomal RNA (304 nucleotides) under uncultured bacterium. Its description in RNAcentral is "partial 16S ribosomal RNA". It matches the Rfam family "Bacterial small subunit ribosomal RNA", at positions 506 to 807 of the family's 1533-position model. The record is from RNAcentral.
CAGCAGUAGCCGCGGGAAUACGUAGGUGGCAAGCGUUGUUCGGAAUUACUGGGCGUAAAGCGUGCGCAGGCGGUUAUAUAAGACAGAUGUGAAAUCCCCGGGCUCAACCUGGGACCUGCAUUUGUGACUGUAUAGCUAGAGUACGGUAGAGGGGGAUGGAAUUCCGCGUGUAGCAGUGAAAUGCGUAGAUAUGCGGAGGAACACCGAUGGCGAAGGCAAUCCCCUGGACCUGUACUGACGCUCAUGCACGAAAGCGUGGGGAGCAAACAGGAUUAGAUACCCCAGUAGUCCCUGUCUCUUAUAC